This 349-nucleotide unclassified non-coding RNA is filed under the name uncultured fungus. RNAcentral describes it as "partial contains small subunit ribosomal RNA, internal transcribed spacer 1, and 5.8S ribosomal RNA". The stretch from base 1 to 73 matches the Rfam family "Eukaryotic small subunit ribosomal RNA", at positions 1759 to 1831 of the family's 1831-position model. The record is from RNAcentral. Lineage: Eukaryota; Fungi.
GCAAACUUGGUCAUUUAGAGGAAGUAAAAGUCGUAACAAGGUAACCGUAGGUGAACCUGCGGUUGGAUCAUUACUGAACUGUGAAAAAUUGACCCCAUUCAUGUGAACUGUUAUUUUUCUUUGGUGGCCCACAAAACAUGUUGGAGCGUUUUUUUUUAUAUACUUGCUUACUUGGCCGAGGUCUUGGGAGUACCGUUAUAUAGAAAGAACGCGACUUCGGGCCACCUAACUGUUAUUAAAUUCUUGUUUUGAAUGUAUAUUUUGUCUUUGUAUGAGUUGAAUCUCUAAUAAAACAAAAACAACUUUUGACAAUGGAUCUCUUGGCUCUUGCAUCGAUGAAGAACGCAGC